Molecule: ribosomal RNA, 492 nt
Filed under: uncultured bacterium
Lineage: Bacteria
Description: partial 16S ribosomal RNA
Rfam family: Bacterial small subunit ribosomal RNA
Source: RNAcentral
AGUGAACGCUGGCGGUAGGCCUAACACAUGCAAGUCGAACGGCAGCACAGUAAGAGCUUGCUCUUACGGGUGGCGAGUGGCGGACGGGUGAGGAAUACAUCGGAAUCUACUUUUUCGUGGGGGAUAACGUAGGGAAACUUACGCUAAUACCGCAUACGACCUACGGGUGAAAGCAGGGGAUCUUCGGACCUUGCGCGAUUGAAUGAGCCGAUGUCGGAUUAGCUAGUUGGCGGGGUAAAGGCCCACCAAGGCGACGAUCCGUAGCUGGUCUGAGAGGAUGAUCAGCCACACUGGAACUGAGACACGGUCCAGAAUCCUACGGGAGGAAGCAGUGGGGAAUAUUGGACAAUGGGCGAAAGCAUGAUCCAGCCAUACCGCGUGGGUGAAGAAGGCCUUCGGGUUGUAAAGCCCUUUUGUUGGGAAAGAAAAGCAGCAGGUUAAUACCCCGCUGUUCUGACGGUACCCAAAGAAUAAGCACCGGCUAACUUCGUG